GUCCAGCCCCGAUAGAAGCGGUAUCCUUUUUUUCCCUUCUUUAGGGAAGAAAAGAUACAAGCGGAUAGCGGGACUAAAG
This 79-nucleotide small RNA is filed under the name Flavobacterium johnsoniae. RNAcentral's name for it is "Flavo-1 RNA". It matches the Rfam family "Flavo-1 RNA". The record is from RNAcentral. Lineage: Bacteria; Pseudomonadati; Bacteroidota; Flavobacteriia; Flavobacteriales; Flavobacteriaceae.